GAUGAACGCUGGCGGCGUGCCUAAUACAUGCAAGUCGAGCGAACAGACGAGGAGCUUGCUCCUCUGACGUUAGCGGCGGACGGGUGAGUAACACGUGGAUAACCUACCUAUAAGACUGGGAUAACUUCGGGAAACCGGAGCUAAUACCGGAUAAUAUAUUGAACCGCAUGGUUCAAUAGUGAAAGACGGUUUUGCUGUCACUUAUAGAUGGAUCCGCGCCGCAUUAGCUAGUUGGUAAGGUAACGGCUUACCAAGGCAACGAUGCGUAGCCGACCUGAGAGGGUGAUCGGCCACACUGGAACUGAGACACGGUCCAGACUCCUACGGGAGGCAGCAGUAGGGAAUCUUCCGAAAUGGGCGAAAGCUUGACGGAGCAACGCCGCGUGAGUGAUGAAGGUCUGCGGAUCGUAAAACUCUGUUAUUAGGGAAGAACAAAUGUGUAAGUAACUAUGCACGUCUUGACGGAACCUAAUCAGAAAGCCACGGCUAACUACGU
This 496-nucleotide ribosomal RNA is filed under the name uncultured bacterium. Its description in RNAcentral is "partial 16S ribosomal RNA". It matches the Rfam family "Bacterial small subunit ribosomal RNA", at positions 28 to 506 of the family's 1533-position model. The record is from RNAcentral.